CCCUUAGAUGUCCUGGGCCGCACGCGUGCUACACUGACGCCUACAGCGAGUACUUCCCAGCCCCGAGAGGUGGCUGGUAAUCAGCAAUAGGCGUCGUGAUGGGGAUAGAUCUUUGGAAUUAUGGAUCUUGAACGAGGAAUGCCUAGUAAGCGCAGGUCAUUAGCCUGCGUUGAUUAAGUCCCUGCCCUUUGUACACACCGCCCGUCGCUCCUACCGAUUUCGAGUGGUCCGGUGAAUCUUUCGGACUGCGCGCGGCUUCGUGCCGUGUCGCGGAAAGUCAGGUAAACCUUAUCACUUAGAGGAAGGAGAANUCGUAACA
This 319-nucleotide ribosomal RNA is filed under the name uncultured eukaryote. Its description in RNAcentral is "partial 18S ribosomal RNA". It matches the Rfam family "Eukaryotic small subunit ribosomal RNA", at positions 1470 to 1796 of the family's 1831-position model. The record is from RNAcentral.